This is a long non-coding RNA of Ostrea edulis (European flat oyster), 461 nucleotides long. RefSeq lists it as uncharacterized. The record is from RefSeq and is a predicted model, not a curated record. Lineage: Eukaryota; Metazoa; Mollusca; Bivalvia; Ostreida; Ostreidae. The transcript is spliced from 2 exons.
UGUGGAUGCUGCAUUUCGAUAGUGAAUUUCCUUAAUACACUAAAAUAGGAUGGAGUGGAAGAAAACGAGAGAAAAAGGAAAAUUCUUUAUGUCACAUUAUUUAAUUCAGUCUAAAAUCCACACGUCGAUACCAGGAAGCUGGGACUGAGAAAUGAUAUCAGCUGGACUGAGGAAUGAUAUCAGCUGGGACUGAGGAAUGAUAUCAGCUGGACGGAGAUAACGCUAUCUUCUGGAACAGCGGGUAGUUAUCAGAGGACUAGUGUGUGGGGGAAAAAAACCCCAACAAAACAACACUAUACAUGACUUCUUACCACCCAUUAAUGUAGUCAUAGAAUUGGCAUUUUUCUCUGUGAGUAUUUUCAUAAAAUUUCAUACAGAUAUUUCUAAUGUACUUUCAUUUUUACAGAUGAUAGAGAAUUCAGUGUAAAGUCUAGUUCACAUUAAAGUCAACCUUGAAUGAU